Molecule: non-coding RNA, 250 nt
Organism: Vicia faba (fava bean)
Lineage: Eukaryota; Viridiplantae; Streptophyta; Magnoliopsida; Fabales; Fabaceae
Source: the annotation of a GenBank genome assembly
CCAAACACAGACAUUUAUAAUAUUCUAUAAAUUUCACUCUUCACAUUAUAGAACGUAUUCGAGUUCGAAACACAACCUUACAUGUUUCUUCAUUUCUAGUUUAUUAGAUAAGUAUAUAUAUCAGCUACAUAAAUGCAAGGAAGACCCAUCACAGUUGCAUUUAUGCACAAAGGUACUACAGAAGUUGCGAUCCUCUCUGGUCAUCAGAAAGAAACUUCCGGUAACGGGAGAGGAUCAAAACUUCAACUAA